UGAGCAAUUGCAGUGAAGUAAGCGCCGUUCAAGUGCUCUUUGGAAAUCUCGGGACUGGUUGCAGCAUAUAAGGAAGUCAUGGCGCCUCUGAUUGGAUCCAAAAGUAAAUACUGGAAGACUGAUUUCUCUAACAAUUUGAGAGCAAAGGUAGGUGAGUAACGAGUCAGCUCGGUACGGAUAACACCUGGGUGUAGACUAACGGAAUAUAUUCCAUAUUUUUCUAAACGUUUGGCUAAAGCAAUGGAAUAAAGGAUCUGGGCAUACUUAGAUUGUCCAUAACGAGCAAAAGUACCCAAAAGUACAUGCGGGAGAUUUAGGUCAGGGAAGUAGAUACCAGAAUAAGGGGCCUGCAAAUAUGCAAUGCUUGCGACGUGAACUAUUCUAACAUCGCCAGGUCGACAUUCUUCUGCAGUACGACGGAGUGUGGGGAGCAAGAGCUCAGUGAACAAGUAAUGUGAAAGGUA
Non-coding RNA from Schizosaccharomyces pombe (fission yeast), 464 nucleotides. The record is from the annotation of a GenBank genome assembly. NCBI's taxonomy places the organism in Eukaryota, Fungi, Ascomycota, Schizosaccharomycetes, Schizosaccharomycetales, Schizosaccharomycetaceae.